CUCACAUGGACACACAGAGACAUGAAAGUAAACAAUGAAAAGUCCCUUAUCACCCCAUCGCCUCUACCUAUUUCCUACUCUCUUCACAUGUAAACAUUGUUAUCUGUUUCUUUUCUAUUCUUCUAAGGUUUUUAUGCAUAAAAAGAAAAUAAAGACGUUCUUAUUUUCCCCAUGCUUUACACUUAAGAUAGGACACGUUAUAGGAUACAUUAUGUUGUACCUUUUUUCCCAUUUAGUCUAUAUCAAAGAUCCUUGACCUUGCAUUUAUAUGAAAGUUUGACUAGAUACAAACAUUUUUUUUUUUUUAAGAUUUUUUUUAUUCUUUUUCCUUUUUCUCCCCAAAGCCCCCCGGUACAUAGUUGUAUAUUCUUCGUUGUGGGUCCUUCUAGUUGUGGCAUGUGGGACGCUGCCUCAGCGUGGUUUGAUGAGCAGUGCCAUGUCCGCACCCAGGAUUCAAACCAACGAAACACUGGGCUGCCUGCAGCGGAGCGCGCGAACUUAACCACUCGGCCACGGGGCCAGCCCCUAGAUACAAACAUUUUUGAGUUGUUUUUGAAAACUAGGAAUAUAGGGGAGUAGAGGUGGAGAAAAUACUCAGAGCCCAGCUAACUUGCCUGCACUUCUCAACUGUUCUCCAGACCCUGCCGUUGCACAUCAACAACAUGCUGCCAUCACCACCACAGUGAGAUAAAAAGGCGUACCUAAAACCGCAUCGCUGUGCUAGCUCUAGAAAAUGGUUUUGUCAUGGUUAAUUUUAUGUGUCAACUUGACUGGGCCACAGUGUGCCCAUUAUUCUGGGUGUUUUCGUGAGCGUGUUUCUGGAUGAUAUAAACACUUGAAUCAGUAGACUGAGUAAAGCACAUUGCCCUUCUCAACGUGGGUGGUACUCACCUAAUCCAUUGAUGUCCUGAAUAGAACAAAAAGGCUGAGUAAAGGAGAAUUCACUCUCUCUGCUUGACUGUCCUUGAGUUGGAACAUUGGUCUUCUGCUGCCUUUGGACUCAGACUCAGACCGGAACUUACCCCAGCAGCUCUCCUGCUUCUUGGCUCUUCAGACUCUCGCUGGAACUCUACCACUGGCUCUCCUGGGUCUCCAGCUAGCCUACUUCAGAUCUUGGGACUUCUUAGGCUCCAUAAUCAUAACUAUAAGUGGGAAAAGUUUCCUAUCUGCUUCCGUUGAUUAAAAUAACACCUAUAUGCUGUUUACUUCUACUUAUUCUUUACAAUUCAGCUCAAAGACACCUCUGCAAAGCCUCUGAUUUCAAUCUUGCGGUUUUUACAAAUUGAAGGUUGGUGGCAACCCUGCACUGAGCAAGUCUGUCAGCGCCGUUUUUCGAAAAACAUUUGCGCACUUUGUGUCUCUGCACCACAUUUUGGUAAUUCUCACAAUAUUUCAAACUUUUUCAUUAUUAUUAUAUUUGUUAUGGUGGUCUGUGAUCACUGAUCUUCGAUAUUAGAACAAUGUUAGAACUCAGAUCAGCCUCCUCGAAGGGAAAAAGGCAGGGGUUUAUG
This 1511-nucleotide long non-coding RNA is filed under the name Equus caballus (horse). RNAcentral describes it as "lncRNA (ENSECAG00000051048.1)". The record is from RNAcentral. Lineage: Eukaryota; Metazoa; Chordata; Mammalia; Perissodactyla; Equidae.